GACGAACGCUGGCGGCGUGCUUAACACAUGCAAGUCGAACGGAAAGGCCCUGCCUUUGUGGGGUGCUCGAGUGGCGAACGGGUGAGUAACACGUGAGUAACCUGCCCUUGACUUUGGGAUAACUUCAGGAAACUGGGGCUAAUACCGGAUAGGAUCUCCUGCUGCAUGGGGGGGGUGGGAAAGUUUCGGCGGUUGGGGAUGGACUGGCGGCUUAUCAGCUUGUUGGUGGGGUAGUGGCUUACCAGGGCUUUGACGGGUAGCCGGCCUGAGAGGGUGACCGGCCACAUUGGGACUGAGAUACGGCCCAGACGCCUACGGGAGGCAGCAGUGGGGACUAUUGCACAGUGGGCGGAAGCCUGAUGCAGCAACGCCGCGUGCGGGAUGACGGCCUUCGGGUUGUAAACCGCGUUCGCCUGUGACGAAGCGUGAGUGACGGUAAUGGGUAAAGAAGCACCGGCUAACUACGUG
This 468-nucleotide ribosomal RNA is filed under the name uncultured bacterium. RNAcentral describes it as "partial 16S ribosomal RNA". It matches the Rfam family "Bacterial small subunit ribosomal RNA", at positions 28 to 507 of the family's 1533-position model. The record is from RNAcentral.